AGUGAACGCUGGCGGUAGGCCUAACACAUGCAAGUCGAACGGCAGCACAGGAGAGCUUGCUCUCUGGGUGGCGAGUGGCGGACGGGUGAGGAAUACAUCGGAAUCUACUUUUUCGUGGGGGAUAACGUAGGGAAACUUACGCUAAUACCGCAUACGACCUACGGGUGAAAGCAGGGGACCUUCGGGCCUUGCGCGAUUGAAUGAGCCGAUGUCGGAUUAGCUAGUUGGCGGGGUAAAGGCCCACCAAGGCGACGAUCCGUAGCUGGUCUGAGAGGAUGAUCCGCCGCACUGGAACUGAGACACGGUCCUGACUCCUACGGGAGGCAGCAGUGGGGAAUAUUGGACAAUGGGCGCAAGCCUGAUCCAGCCAUACCGCGUGGGUGAAGAAGGCCUUCGGGUUGUAAAGCCCUUUUGUUGGGAAAGAAAUCCAGCUGGCUAAUACCCGGUUGGGAUGACGGUACCCAAAGAAUAAGCACCGGCUAACUUCGUGCCAGCAGCCGCCGUAA
Molecule: ribosomal RNA, 506 nt
Filed under: uncultured bacterium
Lineage: Bacteria
Description: partial 16S ribosomal RNA
Rfam family: Bacterial small subunit ribosomal RNA
Source: RNAcentral